UCCAUUUGGAGGCUUUCUUUGGCUUUGCAAAAAUGCACAACCAAAUUCAAUAAAGACGCUGUUGAUUUUGGUGAAAGCAGAGUUAGUCUUACGCUUUGUGGUUUUGAAAAUUCUGCCCAUUGAUGACAAUUGAAACUACUCUGAAUAUUAACUGUGAUGGAAAAAAUGCAUAGGUUCUAAUAUCUGAGACUGGGAGUUACAACUUAUAACUCCGUAAUGAGAUGUACUUCUGUAGGUGCCAGACCUGCUUGGUUUUCUCACCUCUGUGCUGCACACCCAAGAGUGACACCCUGCCUCGGGCAAGGCAGAGAUACUUUCUUGUCAAAGAGUGUCUCAGGGAGCCACAAAACAAUGAAUCAAUGGAUUGAACGUCACAAGCGCGCAACGAGCAUUCAAAGUGUGUAGCAGGUUUCCAGCUGACCAGCAACCGAAGGCUGGUAAGUAUGUAGUAGAAGCAGUACAUUUCAGGUCCUAGGGAGAGACAUGCGCUUCACUAAGUUACAGAUUAACUGCUGGGGUGCACUACAGCUUCUUUUAGGUUUGCCUAUUCAGACUUCUCUACUGAUGUGUCAGUGAUAUAGAUGUGGUUGUGUUUUGAGGUCAAACUUUAGCCUAACUGGUGCUCAGAUGCAACUAAGAUGUGUACCUGGUGUCAGGAAAUGGGAAGUUUUCUCUGUUUCUUAAUCUGGAGGUAACUUCAAGGGUGUAUUUCAUUUCCAAGUAGUGUCAUUCUUCUGACUUUGCUGCAGCCCAUGUAACUCACAAUUUCUCCUGCAUUUUUGUUGAAAUAGCAGCCUUCUCUCUGAUCAGCCAUUAAGCUAACACUGGGAUGUGGUCACUGAAGGUUCACUGCAUCCUAAAAGAAGAUCUGUGUCUGAUGCAAAGAAGAGACAAAGAACAAAGAGUUCAAACAUGGCUCUAGUCUGAAGACACCAUGGAAGAAUUCUACCUUCUAUCGGAACAUCAUCACUUGGAUUUAUGACCAGUGUAUUCCAGUCACCCUGAAAACAGUGAGUAUGCAUAGGAAAUAUUAAGGGUCAUAAUAUCAUCUUCUGGAGAAAAACAUUCAAGAAGGUGAGAAGUCAUCUUGAUUGAAAUUACUGAUGAUGACCAACACGAAGCCCCACUUCACAGU
RNAcentral lists this long non-coding RNA (1135 nucleotides) under Gallus gallus (chicken). Its description in RNAcentral is "lncRNA (ENSGALG00010012241.1)". Lineage: Eukaryota; Metazoa; Chordata; Aves; Galliformes; Phasianidae. The record is from RNAcentral.